ACGCUCGACACCUACGGCAGGCAGCAGUGGGGAAUAUUGCACAAUGGGGGAAACCCUGAUGCAGCGACGCCGCGUGAGCGAAGAAGUAUUUCGGUAUGUAAAGCUCUAUCAGCAGGGAAGAAACUGACGGUACCUGACUAAGAAGCACCGGCUAAAUACGUGCCAGCAGCCACGGUAACUGAGCGGGCUGGCAAGGC
Molecule: ribosomal RNA, 197 nt
Filed under: uncultured bacterium
Lineage: Bacteria
Description: partial 16S ribosomal RNA
Rfam family: Bacterial small subunit ribosomal RNA
Source: RNAcentral